Molecule: long non-coding RNA, 793 nt
Organism: Durio zibethinus
Lineage: Eukaryota; Viridiplantae; Streptophyta; Magnoliopsida; Malvales; Malvaceae
Source: RefSeq, a predicted model, not a curated record
UAUGAAUGACUGAAAAAAAUAAAACAACUUCGAAUAUUCAUACAACCCAAAACAAAUCGCAGAAGUCAUACAACCCAGAUUCCUAUAAUCGACCGUCGCCGCCAUGCACUAGUGUCGAAAAAUAACAAAAAAAUUACCUGUCCAAAGCAAACUGAUUCAGGAUCUAACGAACAUAUCACGCCGAAACUUGAUGAUAGCAUCACACUGGUGGGAUAAAUGGUGAAAUUGCCGCUAGACGGGUCUCUCGAUUGCCGACGAAGAAGUUUGGAUUUCAAACUCGGUGAUAAAGCUGCAUGCGACACUUAACGAGUUCGAUGGAAAUCCUGGCUUGAGAGGGCAGAGAGUUCGAGAAGAGAAUUCAUUGAAGGUUGAAGAAUGAGAGAAUUGAACGGGAAACCAUUAUUUCAUGGGCUAAGGAGGUUGGAAAAGAUAAUGAUUUUGUUGUUGUGAUUAAAAGCUCUUAAUCGGAAAGUUUAGAGAAAAAAAAACGUAGAAUACAAUUGCCAUGUGAAUGUAGUACAAAAUAUAGCUGGCCAAAGAGUAAGCCUAAUAUAAAAGAAAUGCUUCGUAAGGAUACAAGAACAAAGAAGAGUGGUUGUGGUUGUGCAUUUAAGAUGAUUAGUAGUUAAAGUAUCCUAAUGUUUUCAUCAAUCAAGGAUGAGUACCAAAGGCAUCUACAUUCAUGGAAAAUUGAUUAUCACUCUUAUUAAGCAUCACUUGAUUAUGUAAAGAAUCAAUGGUUAACUUGGUAUAAAGAUAGGCUUGGUUUUAUUUAGACGAACAAAAUAACACA